UACAGAGGUCUCAAGCGUUGUUCGGAUUCAUUGGGCGUAAAGGGCGCGUAGGCGGUCAGCACAGGUCAGUUGUGAAAUCUCCGGGCUUAACUCGGAAAGGUCAACUGAUACUGUGCGACUAGAGUGCAGAAGGGGCAACUGGAAUUCUCGGUGUAGCGGUGAAAUGCGUAGAUAUCGAGAGGAACACCUGCGGCGAAGGCGGGUUGCUGGGCUGACACUGACGCUGAUGCGCGAAAGCCAGGGGAGCGAACGGG
This 254-nucleotide ribosomal RNA is filed under the name uncultured bacterium. RNAcentral's name for it is "partial 16S ribosomal RNA". It matches the Rfam family "Bacterial small subunit ribosomal RNA", at positions 524 to 776 of the family's 1533-position model. The record is from RNAcentral.